GACGAACCGUCCGAACGUUAUUCGGUAUCACUGGGCUUAAAGAGUUCGUAGGCGGCCUAGUAGGUGAGAUGUGAAAUCCCACGGCUCAACCGUGGAACUGCGUUUCAAACCACUAGGCUUGAGGGAGAUAGAGGUGAGUGGAACAGAUGGUGGAGCGGUGAAAUGCGUUGAUAUCAUCUGGAACACCGGUGGCGAAGGCAGGUCUCUGGGCGUACUGACGCUGAGGAGCGAAAG
Molecule: ribosomal RNA, 234 nt
Filed under: uncultured bacterium
Lineage: Bacteria
Description: partial 16S ribosomal RNA
Rfam family: Bacterial small subunit ribosomal RNA
Source: RNAcentral